Molecule: ribosomal RNA, 254 nt
Filed under: uncultured bacterium
Lineage: Bacteria
Description: partial 16S ribosomal RNA
Rfam family: Bacterial small subunit ribosomal RNA
Source: RNAcentral
UACGGGGGGGUCAAGCGUUGUUCGGAAUUACUGGGCGUAAAGGGCUCGUAGGCGGCCAACUAAGUCAGACGUGAAAUCCCUCGGCUUAACCGGGGAACUGCGUCUGAUACUGGAUGGCUUGAGUUUGGGAGAGGGAUGCGGAAUUCCAGGUGUAGCGGUGAAAUGCGUAGAUAUCUGGAGGAACACCGGUGGCGAAGGCGGCAUCCUGGACCAACACUGACGCUGAGUGAGCGAAAGCCAGGGGAGCAAACGGG